RNAcentral lists this ribosomal RNA (540 nucleotides) under uncultured archaeon. Its description in RNAcentral is "bacterial SSU rRNA". It matches the Rfam family "Bacterial small subunit ribosomal RNA", at positions 509 to 1050 of the family's 1533-position model. The record is from RNAcentral.
CAGCCGCCGCGGUAAUACGUAGGGGGCAAGCGUUAUCCGGAAUUAUUGGGCGUAAAGAGUGCGUAGGUGGUUACCUAAGCAGGGGGUGAAAGGCAGUGGCUCAACCAUUGUUAGCCCCCUGAACUGGGCUACUUGAGUGCAGGAGAGGAAAGCGGAAUUCCUAGUGUAGCGGUGAAAUGCGUAGAUAUUAGGAGGAACACCAGUGGCGAAGGCGGCUUUCUGGACUGUAACUGACACUGAGGCACGAAAGUGUGGGGAGCAAACAGGAUUAGAUACCCUGGUAGUCCACACCGUAAACGAUGAGCACUAGGUGUCGGGGUCGCAAGACUUCGGUGCCGCAGUUAACGCAUUAAGUGCUCCGCCUGGGGAGUACGUACGCAAGUAUGAAACUCAAAGGAAUUGACGGGGACCCGCACAAGCAGCGGAGCAUGUGGUUUAAUUCGAAGCAACGCGAAGAACCUUACCAGGACUUGACAUCCCGAUGAAACUCGCUUAACCGUGAGCCCUCUUCGGAGCAUCGGUGACAGGUGGUGCAUGGCC